AGAGUUUGAUCAUGGCUCAGGAUGAACGCUAGCGGCAGGCUUAACACAUGCAAGUCGAGGGGUAUCACGCUUUCGGGCGUGAGAGACCGGCGCACGGGUGAGUAACGCGUAUGCAACCUACCUUUAACAGAGGGAUAGCCCAUAGAAAUGUGGAUUAAUACCUCAUAGUUCUUAUUGGCCGCAUGGUCGGUAAGAUAAAGCUUUGGCGGUUAAAGAUGGGCAUGCGUGCCAUUAGCUAGUUGGUGAGGUAACGGCUCACCAAGGCAACGAUGGCUAGGGGUUCUGAGAGGAUUAUCCCCCGACACUGGUACUGAGACACGGGACCAGACUCCUACGGGAGGCAGCAGUAAGGAUAUUGGUCAAUGGACGCAAGUCUGAACCAGCCAUGCCGCGUGCAGGAUGACGGCCUUAUGGGUUGUAAACUGCUUUUUAUACAGGAAGAACACUCCCUCGUGAGGGGCUUGACGGUACUGUAUGAAUAGCACCGGCUAACUCCGUGCCAGCA
Molecule: ribosomal RNA, 505 nt
Filed under: uncultured bacterium
Lineage: Bacteria
Description: bacterial SSU rRNA
Rfam family: Bacterial small subunit ribosomal RNA
Source: RNAcentral